UUAACUCGAAUUUGUAUGGAGUUCGAACAUAUGCCUACGUUUGCCGCUAGGGGCGCUGUUCUAACUGCAAACAAAUUUGAGUUA
Bombyx mori (domestic silkworm) is the source of this 84-nucleotide non-coding RNA. The record is from Rfam. NCBI's taxonomy places the organism in Eukaryota, Metazoa, Arthropoda, Insecta, Lepidoptera, Bombycidae.